Long non-coding RNA from Chlorocebus sabaeus (green monkey), 1410 nucleotides. RefSeq lists it as uncharacterized. The record is from RefSeq and is a predicted model, not a curated record. NCBI's taxonomy places the organism in Eukaryota, Metazoa, Chordata, Mammalia, Primates, Cercopithecidae.
UUUUGUUCUUAUGUCGGAGUGCAAGAGAGCCCCAAAGGCUAGAGCACUCCCCAAGUAAGCAGGCAGAGACAGAGACCCGAGUCCUACUGCUGAGUCAUUUAAAUCUGCUUUAGAUCCGGUUUUCUCAGGGCAUGGAAAGGACAGGACUCCCAGUGGAGGUAUCAUGUAGCUAGGGCCUAGAAGUAUUUUUUCAGUACAUGAAAUUUAGAAAGAAUUUGAAUAUUUUAUGCUGGGGAGGUAGGUUGUGGAGCGAAAUGGUUGGGGAAAGGAAACAUUGAGUUCAAGUGAUUCUAAAGGACACUUAACUGAUCUAAAUAUUUGUCAGGCUGAAUUGCUACAUCCACUCUCACCUGCCUGAAAUCAAUAUGCUCAAGUUGAAUGCAUUUGCCUGCAUCUGAGUGUGGAGAAUGAAUGAACUUCUUAAAGCUGAAUUGGCAGCUGGAAGGGAAGAGAGAAGAGCUGGACAGCAAGCCAGGACAUCCAGAGUUCUUUUCCACUGUGGUGGGACCUGGAAGAAGCUGUUGAAUCUCCAGAGGGUUAGCUUUUAAAUGCUGUGAGUCUUUGGAAAGCUGUGCAAAUAACUGUUAAACACUCAGGACAGCUUACGCAUUUUUUUUGAAAAAGCCUCCUGGUACUGGUUCCAGCAGAAUAGACAGAGAUGCAUGGCCUAACUCCCACCCCAUCUUCAGGACUGAGCCACGCAGCCCCCACAUCUGCCAGAAGUGUUAGCUGUUGAUGGCUGACAGCUGAGUCCCUCCCCAGGCAUUGCUGAAAAGAACCGCCUUGCUCUAGGAUGUGCCCCCACCCUGGGGGCAACACACAUUCCAAGUGGCUAGUCCAUAGCAUGAUACAAAGGUUGGACCCAUCUUGCCUGAAUUCAGGAUCUCUUGGAAAAGCCACCCCCAGCUCUGCAGCUCCUGGUGGGGUGCUGAGGCCUCUACUGCAGCUGCAUCACAGUUUAAUUUCCCCUUUGCCUAGUCCUGCUGCCUUCACUCCCCAACAGAUCACCUGCUCCAAGCAUGCCGUCUACUGUGGAAAUCUUCAAUCUUUAAUUAAUCUUUCCUGUUAUAGGAAGAUUAAGUCUAAAAGGGUAUCUUCCCUAGUUGAUCCAGAACUAAAUAACAUUGUUCUCAGUACUUCCAGUAACUUGCUUACACUCUUAUUUCUAAAGUAUUGAAUGUAUUAUCUUAUGGGCUUGUCACCCCCAGCUUGUGUCAUAGGAGAAAGUAUACGGAGAUCAGGUACAACUUCAGUUCAACAACUUAUGAUCUAUUGGAUCAGUCUCUUUAUUAAUUUCUCAAAGCCUCAAGUUCCUCGUUUAAAAUGGGGAUAAUACCUACCUUAAUUAAUUUCUUGAGGAUCAAAAGAAACCCUGGUAACAAAGCCUUGAACCAUGUCUGACUUAUAGUA